AGGACGAACGCUGGCGGCGUGCCUAACACAUGCAAGUCGAACGAGGUCCAACCGGUAGCAAUACCGGUGAAGAUCAAGUGGCGAACGGGUGAGUAGCACGUGAGCAACCUGCCCCGAAGACCGGGACAACACCGGGAAACCGGUGCUAAUACCGGAUAUCCCCACUGAGUCGCAUGGCUCGGUGAGGAAAUGGAUUCCGCUUCGGGAGGGGCUCGCGGCCUAUCAGCUUGUUGGUGAGGUAACGGCUCACCAAGGCUUCGACGGGUAGCUGGUCUGAGAGGACGAUCAGCCACACUGGGACUGAGACACGGCCCAGACUCCUACGGGAGGCAGCAGUGGGGAAUCUUGCACAAUGGGCGCAAGCCUGAUGCAGCAACGCCGCGUGAGGGACGAAGGCUUUCUGAGUUGUAAACCUCUUUCAGUCAGGGACGAUUGUGACGGUACCUGCAGAAGAACGCCCCGGACAACUACGUGCCAGCAGCCGCGGUAAU
This 491-nucleotide ribosomal RNA is filed under the name uncultured bacterium. Its description in RNAcentral is "SSU rRNA". It matches the Rfam family "Bacterial small subunit ribosomal RNA", at positions 26 to 524 of the family's 1533-position model. The record is from RNAcentral.